AUAAUUUAAGACUGGAAUGAAAGAGUCAACUUAAAGAGAUAUAUCUAUUUAAUAAAUUUCAAAUCUUACUUUUUAGUAAAAAGGCUAAAAUUAAACUUAUAGACAAGAAGACCCUGUAAAACUUUACACAACCAAAUCUAAUAAUCUACCCUUGUGUUCAGCUGGGGCGGCAUAAGAUUCUAACAUCUUAAAAUUUUAAUAAAAAUUUAAAAUACCCAGAAUUUCUGAAAAUUAAACAAGCUACUUCAGGGAUAACAGCGUAAUAUAUUUUGAAAGACCCUAUUGACAAAAAUGUUUGCGACCUCGAUGUUGGAUUGU
RNAcentral lists this ribosomal RNA (318 nucleotides) under Tityus falconensis. Its description in RNAcentral is "partial 16S ribosomal RNA". The stretch from base 71 to 318 matches the Rfam family "Bacterial large subunit ribosomal RNA", at positions 2048 to 2540 of the family's 2925-position model. Lineage: Eukaryota; Metazoa; Arthropoda; Arachnida; Scorpiones; Buthidae. The record is from RNAcentral.